Molecule: ribosomal RNA, 490 nt
Filed under: uncultured bacterium
Lineage: Bacteria
Description: partial 16S ribosomal RNA
Rfam family: Bacterial small subunit ribosomal RNA
Source: RNAcentral
AGUGAACGCUGGCGGUAGGCCUAACACAUGCAAGUCGAACGACAGCACAGGAGAGCUUGCUCUCUAGGUGGCGAGUGGCUGACGGGGGAGGAAUACAUCGGAAUCUGCCCAGUCGUAGGGGGUAACGUAGGGAAACUUACGCUAAUACCGCAUACGACUUUCGGGUGAAAGAGGGGGAUCGCAAGACCUCUCGCGAUUGGAUGAGCCGAUGUCGGAUUAGCUAGUUAUCGGGGUAAUGGCCCGCCAAGGCGACGAUCCGUAGCUGGUAUGAGGGGGUGACCAGACACACUGGAACUGAGAAACGGUCCAGACUCUUACGGGAGGAAGCAGUGGGGAAUAUUGGACAAUGCGCGCAAGCCUGAUCCUGGCAUACCGCGUGGGUGAAGAAGGACUUAGGGUUGUAAAGCCAUUUUGUUGGGAAAGAAAUAUAUCAGGCUCAUAUCCUGAGAGGAUGACGGUACCCAAAGAAUAAGCCCCGGCUAACUUCGUG